CCCUUAGAUGUUCUGGGCCGCACGCGCGCUACACUGACGGAUUCAACGAGCUUACAACCUUGGCCGAAAGGUCUGGGUAAUCUCCAAAAUCCGUCGUGAUGGGGAUAGAUUAUUGCAAUUAUUAAUCUUCAACGAGGAAUGCCUAGUAGGCGCAAGUCAUCAGCUUGCGUCGAUUACGUCCCUGCCCUUUGUACACACCGCCCGUCGCUCCUACCGAUUGGGUGUGCUGGUGAAAUGUUCGGAUCGGCCGUUUGUCGCGGUUUCCGCGUCAUGUGGCUGAGAAGUUCAUUAAACCCUCCCACCUAGAGGAAGGAGAAGUCGUAACA
This 326-nucleotide ribosomal RNA is filed under the name uncultured eukaryote. Its description in RNAcentral is "partial 18S ribosomal RNA". It matches the Rfam family "Eukaryotic small subunit ribosomal RNA", at positions 1470 to 1796 of the family's 1831-position model. The record is from RNAcentral.